AUGGUGGUGUUUCUCGUCGUCAUUCUCAGAUUCGAAGACCGAAGAAGAUUUUCUCUCAAUCUUGCUCCAUUCUCUUCAAGAUUCAUGGCUCUAGUUCGAGACCAUCCUCUCAUAAUCGUUUUUCGAUUGUCAAAAUUCUUUUCACCUAUCCGGAGCAAUUCAAGAUUCUUUUCAGUUUGUUUCUCCAGAGCUCAUCAUCUCGUUUGUCUAAGAUCAUGUUCUUUUCAUGAUUGCCCAUUUAACCGGAGUGUCGUGCCCUCUUUUCAAGUUCUAUCUCCUUAUCAAGUUCUUAUUCAAUUAUUUUCAUUUCAACCGGAGUGCCGCCCGAAUUUGGUCUUCCUUGAUCCCCUUCUUUAA
Molecule: ribosomal RNA, 357 nt
Filed under: Triticum aestivum (bread wheat)
Lineage: Eukaryota; Viridiplantae; Streptophyta; Magnoliopsida; Poales; Poaceae
Description: partial small subunit ribosomal RNA
Source: RNAcentral